Long non-coding RNA from Oreochromis niloticus (Nile tilapia), 877 nucleotides. RefSeq lists it as uncharacterized. The record is from RefSeq and is a predicted model, not a curated record. Lineage: Eukaryota; Metazoa; Chordata; Actinopteri; Cichliformes; Cichlidae. The transcript has 4 exons.
GUCCUACUGUAUAUAUUCUACACUUUCAGAUUUCAAAUUGAAAUGGAGCAGUUUAUGAUAAAUAAUGAGUGAUCACCACUAGUAUACUCGUGCAGCAUGCACAUACACACAAAAUGAACACACAGGUGACUAUAAAGUAUAAACAUUACUCCAGUAUACUGGACUUGUGUGGAAACCAGUGCAAGCACAGCUACCACCUCAGCAUCUGCUUUUAUUUCACUGUGGUUAACACUGCUUCAAGGUCUCGAGAGUUUCAUGCAUACAUAAAAUAUGAGCACUAAUGACCAGUUUCACCAUUACUGCAACGUGCAAUUACCAUCAUAAUGAUUUACCAUUCAUUUGCUUUCACAGCAAUGCGAAGAAUUGAGUUUAAUUAAUAAUUUGCUAGUGAGGAAUUAAUUGGAGAAUGCAGGAUGUCACAGCUGUGUGAGUGUCCCCUGCCUUGAACAGAGGGUACAAUUAAGUGAUGAUUGCCAGGCCUGCCAUGUUGAAACAUGACCCAGUCUGAAGACCAAAUCGAAGUGUGACGAUGACGGUCCGGGAGGUCGGACAACCUCCCAUGGGUAAACUACUGGUGGCAACGUAGAUGAAAACAAGUCCAGGCUAUCUUCCCUGAAAAAGUUGUUAGAUGUAAGGACCAAGAUUGCAGGAACAACAUGUCAUGUCUUUAGAAGAGAUUCUCAUGAAGCUAUCAGAGCCUUGCAGACCACUGGCUUUCUAGCUGAUAAUUUGUCAAGGCGGCCGCCUGGUAGGAUGGUGGUGUCGGUAUGAUGGCUGGUAGGCAGAACUGACUGCUUUGAUCAAGAAGAAGAAGAAGAAACUAAAAUCCACUAAAAUGCCCACUUUGCUCACUCGGUUCACUAACUUGGUAGUAAAA